This 274-nucleotide ribosomal RNA is filed under the name uncultured bacterium. RNAcentral's name for it is "partial 16S ribosomal RNA". It matches the Rfam family "Bacterial small subunit ribosomal RNA", at positions 523 to 796 of the family's 1533-position model. The record is from RNAcentral.
AUACGGAGGGUCCAAGCGUUAUCCGGAUUCAUUGGGUUUAAAGGGUCCGCAGGCGGGAAAAUAAGUCAGUGGUGAAAGCCUACAGCUUAACUGUAGAACUGCCAUUGAUACUGUUUUUCUUGAGUAUAGAUGAAGUGGGCGGAAUAUAUCAUGUAGCGGUGAAAUGCAUAGAUAUGAUAUAGAACACCGAUUGCGAAGGCAGCUCACUAAACUAUUACUGACGCUCAGGGACGAAAGCGUGGGGAGCGAACAGGAUUAGAAACCCCAGUAGUCC